ACCUACGGCCAUACCAUCCUGAACACGGCCAAUCUCAUCUGAUCUCGGAAGCUAAGCAGGGUCGGGCCUGGUUAGUACCUGGAUGGGAGACCGCCUGGGAAUACCGGGUGCUGUAGGCU
RNAcentral lists this ribosomal RNA (119 nucleotides) under Salvator merianae (Argentine black and white tegu). Lineage: Eukaryota; Metazoa; Chordata; Lepidosauria; Squamata; Teiidae. The record is from RNAcentral.